AGUCCCGGCUGGUUGUUAUAGCAACAUAUGCACGUGUGUGCGUGUCUGCAUGUAAAGCAGACUCAAACCCAGGUUGUCACGGGCAACACAAGUCAGCUCCCAAAGUCGCAUCAAACUUGCUGCUCUGCCUGGUGUCGUCUGAAGGCAGCAGCCAGCUCCAGCAGGGACAGGGAAACAUCCUGAUCUCUCACUGCUGGUGCCGGUUGUUGGCUGAGAGCUCAGCGCCGUCUCGCAGCUGAUUCAGCUCCUUAAGAAGAGGAUGGCUGCAAGGAAGGUCCAAAAAUAAUCUAACCCAUUUGCCUAUGAGUUUUGAGCCUGCUUUGCUGAUUGGCAGACCCUCCAGAGACCACCAGAAGAAGCAGAUGGUCAAGACAUGAGAUCAGAGCUGGAGACAGAGAUGUCAAUCAAUAGGUUGGAGUAGCAGGCGCUGGGAUGUGGAAUGGAACAGGCAGCUACAGCAGCGCUAAGCAGGACAGGGUGCACUGUCCCAGAAGACAAGGCCGCCUGGAGGGAUGGAAGUCUGCAGGAGCAGAGGCAGAGCACCCGUCACCACCCUGCUAACUGGCCAGUGCCGAGGUAACACCACUAAGGCACAUCUCAGUGUACCCCUGCCCUGCUG
Long non-coding RNA from Pezoporus occidentalis (night parrot), 619 nucleotides. RefSeq lists it as uncharacterized. The transcript has 3 exons. NCBI's taxonomy places the organism in Eukaryota, Metazoa, Chordata, Aves, Psittaciformes, Psittacidae. The record is from RefSeq and is a predicted model, not a curated record.